RNAcentral lists this ribosomal RNA (440 nucleotides) under uncultured bacterium. RNAcentral's name for it is "partial 16S ribosomal RNA". It matches the Rfam family "Bacterial small subunit ribosomal RNA", at positions 338 to 795 of the family's 1533-position model. The record is from RNAcentral.
CCUACGGGGAGCAGCAGUGGGGAAUAUUGCACAAUGGGGGAAACCCUGAUGCAGCGACGCCGCGUGAGUGAAGAAGUAUCUCGGUAUGGAAAGCUCUAUCAGCAGGGAAGAAAAUGACGGUACCUGACUAAGAAGCCCCGGCUAACUACGUGCCCGCAGCCGCGGUAAUACGUAGGGGGCCAGCGUGAUCAGGAUUUACUGGGUGUAAAGGGAGCGUAGACGGCGCUGCAAGUCACAAGGGAAAGCCCGGGGCUUAACCCCGGAACGGCUUUGGAAACUGAGCAGCUAGAGUGCUGGAGAGGUAAGCGGAAUUCCUAGUGUAGCGGUGAAAUGCGUAGAGAUUAGGAGGAACACCAGUGGCGAAGGCGGCUUACUGGACAGUAACUGACGUUGAGGCUCGAAAGCGUGGGGAGCAAACAGGAUUAGAUACCCCGGUAGUC